CCAGCUCUGAGACCGCUUCUGUUUUAAGACCGCGCGUCGUGAGGCAUCCAGGGCGUGUUACGGGACGAACGCGUGAGUGUGUGAUGCCCGCGUGCCUCGGGCAGAGCGCCCCUUCCCCAUGGCCGUGAGCAGGUGGAGAAAACACCGUCAGGGGGCAUCUCCAGGGCAGGAGUGGGGCCUCCUCCCCGCUGGGGCCCGAGCCGAGCCUCUCCCCCCAGGCGCACAUCCCACAGCGCAGGUGUGCCGCCCCUAGCCUGUCCUCAGGCAUUGAGUCCCCAAGCUGGGUGAGGCCUGGGGCGGGGGAGGAGGAAGCAGCUCCAACACGCAGAGGAAAGGCUCUUUCCUACCGAUUUGGGGCUGGUGAGGGUGGUGGCAGUCCGGGCCCCCGCGUCUCGGGACUGCCUGCCCUCAGAACAGGAGCUGGGGGACCUGUGACUGGGACAGUGCCCUGUAUUUCAGGGCUGCGGAAGGCAGCUCUGACUUCUUCAACAUUCCUGGAAAAUGACCUCAAUUUUCUGGAAGAGGGAAGGAGGAUCUGGUUCUUGGAACAUUCCCACUUCUUCACACAGAUGCCACUCAGUUGCACGUGAAGGCUGGGGCAUCUGUGGUCAGCACUGGCCACCGCCCGCGGUCAGGCUGUCCCCAGCCAGGGAGCCCAGCCCUGGCUCAGCUCCUGCGGUGGCGAUCCGUCCAGCGGCUCUGCGUGGACCUGCCUGCUCUCUCAUGCCUGUCCUGAGCCUCCUUGACCGGAAGCCGGUCAAGCAGGCCAGUAACGGCCCUGGGGGCUUCCUGGGGGAACUCUGUUAUGCUGUAAAUGGCGUCCUCGGGCUGCUGUGUCCCAGGGCUGACUGGCCACCUGCCACCCAUCUUUCUCUCUUCUGCCACUGUGCCUUUCCCGCGUGUGGCCUCUCUGACCAAGUCCUGCUGAGCAGGGAAGGACUAAGAGGUUAAGCAAGGGCAGGAGGAAGGUGGGGGUGGAAGGGCUUGCCACCUCUGGGCUCUGGGACCAUGUUGUGACCAAGGAGGAUAAGUGUCAGUGGAUCCGUUUGGUGUCAGAAAAAGCAGGCGCCCUGGCCCUUUUCUGGAGGUGCUGGGAUCUUUUCUCCAUCUUUCCCUCCAGCAGGUGCCUCUGGCCUUGGUGUUAUUCUUGCUUCCCUCCAGGGUGUCCUCAUCCUAGAGGGCCGUCUGGGGGGUCCUCUGGGACCUUGGGUUGGCGGUGUCUCGGGGCCGCAGUCCACUUCACCUGAGCCCUUUGUGGCACGUGGCUCUCUCACGAUUCCCCAGCGGGACUUGGGGCUUUGUUGCUGCAUCUGGCUGUACCCGGGAGGCACUGACAUGUCUGUUCACCGCUUGAUCCGCAGGGGCUGUGUUUGUGCUUUCUGGCAUUGUAUUCGGCCCCGAGCGCUUACUGGACACUCAACAAAUGGCUGUCCCUUCUCUGGCUGCUGUCUGCUAGCCCUCUCACCAGCCUGGGCUCUGUCACUCGGCCUGUCUGCUUUAAGGAAUACUCAGUCUACCCCAGCACACUCCCUCUGCUUGAAGAGCGGGCUGGAAGGAGAAAGGUGUCCUCUUUCUGCUCAUGUGGAAAUUGCCUGGGAAGCUAGUAAGCUGUUGGCUCUGAAGGCAGUUGGCUGUCCUGAGUUUUCGAGUCCCUUGGAAGGAUUCUGGGGAGUUGGCCGAUUGGCUGCAGACCCGAGCUCAUCUGACGAUGUGAACAGCCCCCUGAGACCUGCAGGAAUGUGAUGACAUCAGUCCUUGUCCCCCUCGCUGGUCCACUUUAGCUCAUGGCAUCCUCUGACGACCUCCCUGGAAGGAGACGCUCCCUUACAGAUGGGGAAGCUGGGCCUUUUGGCUGAAGUCAUUGAUUCCCGAGGUCACACGGCUGUAGGGCAGAAGGUGUCAGGACAGACACGGGUGGCGGCCCCCCUGUUCCAGGUGCUCGCUGUUGAGCCCGUUUGACCUGCUGACCUCGUGUUACACACGAGGAAAUGGAAGUCCUCCGAGGCGAAACAACACCCAGGCGCCAGAAGGAGCCGCAGCUGAUGGCCUGGUGUGUGACGUGCCGGACUUCUGUUUCCAGGCAGAUAUGAACCUUUAAAGAUAUAUGUAGUUUUUUUGCACGCAGAGAACUUUUUAUUUAUCCAGAACGAGUACCUAUAAGCAGAUGAUUAUAGCGAUGCUUGUGAAAGUCAAAGAUUGCCAGUAGCCUUAAUAGGGGUUCGGUUCGAUCUGUGAUAGAGCCUUCCAGAGAAUUACUGUUUGUCUGGUAGAAAAAGGGCUCUGCACGCACAGCCGUGAGAGCUGUUUACAACAUGUCAUUAAACGUAAAAACCGAAGGACAGAUUGUCGGCGUCGUGCGGACACGGCGUCCUGGGCAGCUUCAUAUGGAAGCGUAUCCGGCUUGGGCAGCCGUGGCAGACACAGCCCAGAAUCCCCUGGGCCGACUUGAUAGCACGGUCGGUGGCUGGAUGUCUGUGGCCCAAGCUGCCUGUGACACCGGGGCGCCUCCAGAGAGCCCUGGGCUCCCCUUCCCCCGGAAGUUACUCGCUGCCGUGUGCCAGCGAAGUCCUGUGGAAAGUGCUCGGGCAGGGGAGACCGUGGUGAUCCCCAGCUUGAACUGAAUCCUCCCUGGAGGGCAGUGCCUCAGAGCUGUUCCAGCGGUCACACCGAGUCACCUCAUUCGCACGCAGGCAGAAACCCAGGCCCGGAGGGGGAAAGUGGUGUGUCUGGGGCUCAGCAGGCUCCCCUGAGGUACUCUGGGUGUGACUCUGGCGUCUGUGCUGGGGUGGGGUGGAGGGGGCUGCAGCAGGUCUCUUCUAGCCUUCCGUGGCGUCUCCUCAACUUUCCUCUUCCUCUCCCUUCUCCCUCCUGUCUGCACCCCCCUCAAUGUGGUCUACAUACCCCCUUGUCAGAGCUGAGGAAACUGGGGCAACUUGUUGGGGAAAUCGGGGCAAGCAGAUCCUGGGUGAGAAUCUGGUUUCAUGCCCCUUGGAUGUUCCUGGUGUGUGCUUUGUGCCUGUGUGUGUGCGUA
Molecule: long non-coding RNA, 3031 nt
Organism: Lynx canadensis (Canada lynx)
Lineage: Eukaryota; Metazoa; Chordata; Mammalia; Carnivora; Felidae
Exons: 5
Source: RefSeq, a predicted model, not a curated record